UACGGAGGGUGCAAGCGUUAUCCGGAAUCACUGGGUUUAAAGGGUACGUAGGCUGAGAGAUAAGUCAGUCGUGAAAUCGGGUAGCUUAACUAUUCAAUUGCGAUUGAUACUGUUUUUCUAGAAUAGAGUCGAGGUUGGCGGAAUGAGUAGUGUAGCGGUGAAAUGCAUAGAUAUUACUCAGAACACCGAUUGCGAAGGCAGCUGACAAGGCUUUUAUUGACGCUGAGGUACGAAAGUGUGGGUAGCGAACAGG
This 253-nucleotide ribosomal RNA is filed under the name uncultured bacterium. RNAcentral describes it as "partial 16S ribosomal RNA". It matches the Rfam family "Bacterial small subunit ribosomal RNA", at positions 524 to 776 of the family's 1533-position model. The record is from RNAcentral.